Lagopus muta (rock ptarmigan) is the source of this 4344-nucleotide long non-coding RNA. RefSeq lists it as uncharacterized. Lineage: Eukaryota; Metazoa; Chordata; Aves; Galliformes; Phasianidae. The record is from RefSeq and is a predicted model, not a curated record. The transcript is spliced from 4 exons.
AUUUAAGCUCAGGCCAAGGUUCUCAGCUCUUUCUUGCCCUUGGUGCAGCCAUGCUCAUCUCCAGCAUCGCCUCUGGUCACACUGCUAGGAUUGAUAUCAGCUGUGCAGUGCAGUUCCAUUUCAGAUACUAACGCAUCUUCUGCAGGCAAUUAUUUGCCUCAGGCUACAGUGUCUACUACUGAAAUUCAGUGAAAUGAAAGAAUUUGUACAUACAGCAUUCAACAUGGAUUAUUGAAGUCUGUUCCUGUCUUGAACUGCUUGAACGGCAGAAGACGUGGAGCUGGAAAUAAGAUGUGUGUGGGACUACUCCAAAACUGCCAGUUUCCCCCAUGCUUCUUGCUCUGUGCAGCUGCAGUUGUUAAAGGAUCCUCCAACAGACAGUGGGCAGAGAAGCAUUGUGAUGACUCUCCUCCCUGGCCCCAUCUCAUCAGUCCUGCAAUGUGUGCAAGGAGUCAUGCUGGUCUGCAGACCUCGCAUGGUAUCAUUCAGUGACCACAUCCCAUAGCGCUGAGCAUCGUGCCUUUGGAGGGGAGGUUUGGUUUUCUGGAUGUAAGACGCUCUGCUUCCUUUUCACCAAGGAUUAAAGCAACAGGAUGCUCUUCAUGUGCAUCACAUUCACUACUGCUGCUUUGCUGGGAGAACUGGUGGUGUUAAAGGCUGAGUUGAGUAUGAAGGCUCUUCCAAUGCGUCGUUCAGUCAGCUCAAAGCUUUAAUUGCUGUGCCUAAAAUGGGCUCUGUGGGUGAGGGAAGGGUUGUGUCAAGCUGUCAGGAGUGGCACCAUCACGGAAUGCACAGCCUGGCUCAUGUGGGGAUGUUAUCAAUAUUUCCUCUUGUAGAGGGGAUGAUACAGCAAACCCAGAGCAGCUGUCCGUCGCAUAACCCCCUUAUUCUCAUACAAAGUGGGGUUCAGGGUUUGCUCACAUCUGCCUUCUGCUGCAGAAUCCCUGCCUUUUGCAUACUAAAAACAAAGGAGACCUAUGCCUUCCUUCCCUUGGCACACAGCUAUCCUAUCCUGUUUGGGGUUCUUUUGUUUCUGCCUCCUUGCACACCAAGAAGUCUUCAAAGCAUCAGCAGGAUUCUGAGCAACCACUGCUUUCGUUCUUUUAGGUUUGUUUGUUGUUUUGUACAGCAAAUACCUUCAGGUAAACUUUGUAAAACCCUACUUAUAGUUCCAUUAAGGCCAUUCCUUCUCCUUUCGCACUCGUCUCAUUCUGCGUGCUUCUGUCAAAUGGAGGUCAGCAAAACGGCAGUGUGAAAUUUGGGACUGACUUUUUGGAUCUCCAUGUUUUCUCCUCUGUGGUUUUAAUAGGAGAUACCAGAGGCAACACUGAUCUGUGGAAGAUGUUGGGCACCCCGUGUGCUCUCAUAUCCAUAGCUGAGCACUGCAGAGCCGUUUUGUCACCGUAAGUGGAAACGUUUCAAACCUGAAGGACCUUUUUGUUUUGUCUAGAAAUCCCUCUAGAUCGUGGCAGCACUUGCUGUGUUUUGAUACCAGCUCAGCCUCUCAUUGGAAAUAAGUGUUCCACACAUGCUUUAUGCCUUCCCUUGAAAAGAACCACAUUCAUCAGAGAAUUUAUAUCCCCUUUAUCUGGGUGGUACAGUCACUGUAUGGGAUGGUUUGGUUAAGUCUGUGUAAUUACUGAGGUUGGUGACCUCCAACACCAUCCAGUCCUAAUGUCCACCCAGCCAUAAGGCCAUAGGACUUAUUCCAGUCCAUUUAUAGGUACUGUAUGGGGGUGAGAUACACCACAACUGUGUUAAGUGUGAAAUAUAUGGAUAGAAACAGCCGUUUUCUAGCUGCAGAGGCCAUCACUUGUGAUAAUUCUAUAGCAACACUACUGGGCAAUCAUGCCACCAAAAUGGUUAGCUCUGAAGGCAUACAAAUAUUAAUUUGAAAACUACAACAAGUGAAUUCAAAGCAAGUGAAGCAGCAGUGAAACGCAGCAGUGCUGUCUCGCGCUGAGCUCCAACUGCUCUGCUGCCUGCAAUAUCUGCAACCACAGCAGGAUCCUGGCUUCCCAGUCCUGUCUCCUUUCAGCAGAAGCUUUGCUGGUUAGCUGUGCACGUGAGGAGAACUCUGUGAGCGUUAACUGGAAGGAGUUUCUGGGGAAUCUAUUUGCUGUCUUUGUGAAGCUCCAUCCCCCUGUUCCCCUCGGUGUGGGCUCAUGGCAUGCUGUGAUGUGACAGGUGCCAUUGGCAGGCCCCACUGCAGCACCAUCUGCUCGGUGAUGGGGCACCACGUUCAGGUCUGGUUUCUGAGCUGAGCAGCCUGCAGGGCUGCUUUGAACUCUCCAUCCUCCCCAGCACCUCCGGUAGUCUGAUGUACCCCGUGCUAAGGUGGGAGCAGGAGGAAGGUUGGGUUUGGCAAUGGGAGGCAGCAGCUGUCUGUAAGCACCGCGCUGCUGCCUGCAUGAAGUGAGGAAGGCAGAAAUGCUUUCGUUUCUUUUGUUGUGUCUGGCAACGGUAGGAAAGAAUUAGAUUGAAGUGUGAACUACAGGUCGGUAGGCUUCUGUAGCUUCCAAGGGCCAUUCUUUCCUGGGUUAAUCUGUCAGAGCAAAUGCCUCAGUUGUGCUGGGUGAAAAGAGGAUGAUGUUUGAUGAUUAGCACAGAAGGUGGGCAGCAAGGCUCUUAUUCAUGGCUCUGACACUCACAGUGCCAGGGUCUUCAAUGGCAGCGUUACCCCCAUUUCCCAGCACUCCUGUUGGCUCAGUGACACCUCCCACACUGGGAUCCUUUCAGUCCAUUGGCUUUCUCCAUCCGCUUUCCCACUCCUCUUCAGCAGAAGACAGGCAGAGCUCUGCAGUGCCAGCAUGGUGUUUCCCACUUCUGUGGCUCCCUCCUCCCACCAGCGGGCAGCCCCAGCCCUCCCCAUUCCCCAGGAGGACCCCAGUUUUACUCCUCCCAGAGAUGGAGCUGGGAGGUGGAAACUGGAGCCUAUUGGACCUCAUCCUCACGGCACUCUCCUUUUUCCCUCUUUUUUUCUCUUCUUUUAAUUGCUCAGCACCGCCGUUGUCUCCUCACUGUCCUUUGAGACCUACAAAGCAUUUCCUGCUCGUGGUCACUUCUCUGUGCUGUAUCUGUUUUGUGUUGAGCUAAUUAAAAUGUUUCCUUCUGCAGAGCACGGUGAACUGCCUUACCCCGUAUCCAGACGCUGAUCCUCGGGGCAUGACUCUCUUUUUGUUUUCACUGAGAAUGUCUGUCUUCAUUUACAUCACCCGUUUAACCCUUGCAGUGCCGUGGCCUUCCGAGGGCCUGGCCCACAGCCCAGAAAUGGUGGGAUUCACCCCACGCUUCUCAGCAAAGUCUGUGUUAUUUUACUCUUGUAAGAGGAACAGUUUUGCUCGCAAGGAAACCUUAGGCUGAUGAUGGAGGACUGUAGGAAUGCUGCUCUUUGGACUCUUGAUCUCCCCUUAGCAAGAGGCUCAUGCUUUAAUAGAAUUGCUAGGUGCAGUGGAGAGCGUGGUAAAGAGGCUUAGAUAUGAGGAAAACCUUGAUGAGAAGCUGUGUUGCCCUCUGGGUCAAUGCUUGGAGAUUCACAGGUUGUUUUCACUCAGAAGCAGAAGGUGGUGCUGGAGGUGGCUGUGCCUUUGAUGCAGCCCUGUUUAUUUACAAAGCGUGGUUAAGGGAAAAAAAAGAAGAGUCCUGUUUCCCUGAAUCCAACAACGGGACUCGGUUUAGUUGCUUACGCUUCCAGAAUGCCUUCCAGUCAGCACCCAGCCCCACAGCUUCCUUUCUUUGCCUUUGGACACCACUUGCAGUGCUCCCAGCUGCCCUCCCUGGCCCUGCAGCAUGAAGCCCUCCUUUCACCCCGUGCCAUGCCCACUGUCUUGCUCUGCACUGCUUCCUCCGCACUCCCUUUGCUCAAAGCACUGUUGAACGUUCACCUCUGUUUAUCCAAAAAACAUGGGCUCUUUUUUUUUCCUUUGCGUGCAUUAGCAUCAACGUGGCUCAUCCAGCUGCCAGCACUGCAGCACAGAUGCCUGUUUCAGCUUUUGCAAGCUCAACCUGAGUGCAAGAGCAGCUGAUUUCCUUGCAGGUCUGCAUCCGUGGGAAUUAGCAGGGCAGGAGGCAACCUGUGCAUGGCUCUAGUGUGAGGAUUUGUGCCCCGCAUUCAUGUACUGGAUGGGGUACAUCAAACAGGGCUUUGUUCUCUCUAAUUGCAUUAUUUGGGGUGUGAAGGAUGGUUUGAGGCUCCAUUCUGACGGCGGGUGCAGGUGGCUGCAGCCUCAUCUGCUCCAUCCAUCCGACUGCCCUUCUCAGCAGCUCACACUGAGCCACCCCUUGGUGUGCAGAGUGAGGCAGCACUGCGUGCAGCCGUGCCACAGUGCUGAGCAAUGGAGCAAC